UACGUAGGGGGCAAGCGUUGUCCGGAUUUACUGGGCGUAAAGGGCGCGUAGGCGGCCUGAUAAGUCAGAUGUGAAAGUCCACGGCUCAACCGUGGAAUUGCAUUUGAAACUGUCAGGCUUGAGUGCAGGAGAGGAGAGCGGAAUUCCUAGUGUAGCGGUGAAAUGCGUAGAUAUUAGGAAGAACACCAGUGGCGAAGGCGGCUCUCUGGACUGUAACUGACGCUGAGGCGCGAAAGCGUGGGGAGCGAACAGGAUUAGAUACCCUGGUAGUCCACGCCGUAAACGAUGAGUGCUAGGUGUUGGGGGUCGAACCUCAGUGCCGCAGUUAACACAUUAAGCACUCCGCCUGGGGAGUACGACCGCAAGGUUGAA
This 372-nucleotide ribosomal RNA is filed under the name uncultured bacterium. RNAcentral describes it as "bacterial SSU rRNA". It matches the Rfam family "Bacterial small subunit ribosomal RNA", at positions 524 to 898 of the family's 1533-position model. The record is from RNAcentral.